This 492-nucleotide ribosomal RNA is filed under the name uncultured Bacteroidota bacterium. Its description in RNAcentral is "bacterial SSU rRNA". It matches the Rfam family "Bacterial small subunit ribosomal RNA", at positions 355 to 848 of the family's 1533-position model. The record is from RNAcentral. Lineage: Bacteria; Pseudomonadati; Bacteroidota.
UAAGGAAUAUUGGACAAUGGGCGCAAGCCUGAUCCAGCCAUGCCGCGUGAAGGAUGAAGGCCCUAUGGGUCGUAAACUUCUUUUAUACGGGAAAAAACCCCCCGAUGCGUCGGGGGUUGAUGGUACUGUAAGAAUAAGGGUCGGCUAACUUCGUGCCAGCAGCCGCGGUAAUACGAAAGACCCAAGCGUUAUCCGGAUUUAUUGGGUUUUAAGGGUGCGUAGGCGGACUAAUAAGUCAGUGGUGAAAGCCUGAUGCUUAACAUCAGAAUUGCCAUUGAUACUGUUAGUCUUGAGUAUGGUUGAGGUGGGCGGAAUGUGUCAUGUAGCGGUGAAAUGCUUAGAUAUGACACAGAACACCAAUUGCGAAGGCAGCUCGCUAAACCAUAACUGACGCUGAGGCACGAAAGCGUGGGGAGCAAACAGGAUUAGAUACCCUGGUAGUCCACGCCCUAACGAUGAUAACUCGUUGUUGGCGAUACACAGUCAGCGAAC